GUGCCAGCCGCCGCGGUAAUACCGGCAGCCCGAGUGAUGGCCGAUCUUAUUGGGCCUAAAGCGUCCGUAGCUGGCCGCGCAAGUCCAUCGGAAAAUCCACCCGCCCAACGGGUGGGCGUCCGGUGGAAACUGCGUGGCUUGGGACCGGAAGGCUCGAAGGGUACGGCCGGGGUAGGAGUGAAAUCCUGUAAUCCCGUCCGGACCACCGAUGGCGAAAGCACUUCGAGAAAACGGAUCCGACAGUGAGGGACGAAAGCCAGGGUCUCCAACCGGAUUAGAUACCCUGGUAGUCC
Molecule: ribosomal RNA, 293 nt
Filed under: uncultured bacterium
Lineage: Bacteria
Description: partial 16S ribosomal RNA
Rfam family: Archaeal small subunit ribosomal RNA
Source: RNAcentral